UGCAUGGCUGUCGUCAGCUCGUGUCGUGAGAUGUUGGGUUAAGUCCCGCAACGAGCGCAACCCUUGUCCCUAGUUGCUACGCAAGAGCACUCUAGGGAGACUGCCGGUGACAAACCGGAGGAAGGUGGGGAUGACGUCAAGUCCUCAUGGCCCUUAUGGGUAGGGCUUCACACGUCAUACAAUGGUCGGAACAGAGGGUCGCCAACCCGCGAGGGGGAGCCAAUCCCAGAAAACCGAUCGUAGUCCGGAUCGCACUCUGCAACUCGAGUGCGUGAAGCUGGAAUCGCUAGUAAUCGCGGAUCAGCAUGCCGCGGUGAAUACGUUCCC
Molecule: ribosomal RNA, 327 nt
Filed under: Burkholderia sp. EJP 95
Lineage: Bacteria; Pseudomonadati; Pseudomonadota; Betaproteobacteria; Burkholderiales; Burkholderiaceae
Description: bacterial SSU rRNA
Rfam family: Bacterial small subunit ribosomal RNA
Source: RNAcentral